RNAcentral lists this ribosomal RNA (492 nucleotides) under uncultured bacterium. Its description in RNAcentral is "partial 16S ribosomal RNA". It matches the Rfam family "Bacterial small subunit ribosomal RNA", at positions 29 to 507 of the family's 1533-position model. The record is from RNAcentral.
AGUGAACGCUGGCGGUAGGCCUAACACAUGCAAGUCGAACGGCAGCACAGUAAGAGCUUGCUCUUACGGGUGGCGAGUGGCGGGCGGGUGAGGAAUACAUCGGAAUCUACUUUUUCGUGGGGGAUAACGUAGGGAAACUUACGCUAAUACCGCAUACGACCUACGGGUGAAAGCAGGGGAUCUUCGGACCUUGCGCGACUGAAUGAGCCGAUGUCGGAUUAGCUAGUUGGCGGGGUAAAGGCCCACCAAGGCGACGAUCCGUAGCUGGUCUGAGAGGAUGAUCAGCCACACUGGAACUGAGACACGGUCCAGACUCCUACGGGAGGCAGCAGUGGGGAAUAUUGGACAAUGGGCGCAAGCCUGAUCCAGCCAUACCGCGUGGGUGAAGAAGGCCUUCGGGUUGUAAAGCCCUUUUGUUGGGAAAGAAAAGCAGCAGGUUAAUACCCCGCUGUUCUGACGGUACCCAAAGAAUAAGCACCGGCUAACUUCGUG